CCUACGGGUGGCAGCAGUGGGGAAUAUUGCGCAAUGGGCGAAAGCCUGACGCAGCGACGCCGCGUGAGGGAUGAAGGUCUUCGGAUCGUAAACCUCUGUCAGCAGGGAAGAACGGUCACUGUGCUAAUCAGCAGUGAAUUGACGGUACCUGCAAAGGAAGCACCGGCUAACUCCGUGCCAGCAGCCGCGGUAAUACGGAGGGUGCGAGCGGUAAUCGGAAUUACUGGGCGUAAAGCGCUCGUAGGCGGUAUGUCAAGUCAAGGGUGAAAGCCCCGCGCUCAACGUGGGAACUGCCUUUGAAACGGGCAAACUGGAGUGUGUGAGAGGAAAGUGGAAUUCCAGGUGUAGGGGUGAAAUCCGUAGAUAUCUGGAGGAACAUCAGUGGCGAAGGCGACUAUCUGGCACAUAACUGACGCUGAGGAGCGAAAGCGUGGGUAGCAAACAGGAUUAGAUACCCGUGUAGUC
This 465-nucleotide ribosomal RNA is filed under the name uncultured bacterium. Its description in RNAcentral is "partial 16S ribosomal RNA". It matches the Rfam family "Bacterial small subunit ribosomal RNA", at positions 338 to 795 of the family's 1533-position model. The record is from RNAcentral.